AAAUCUUUUUGGGCUGAAGCUGCUACUACAGCAUGUUUCCUGACAAUCGCUCAUCCUCAACGGCCAUUGAGAAUAAAACACCAUAAGUGAUAUAGUAUGGAAAACCCUCUUGUUAUACUGAUUUGAAGAUCUUUGGGUGUCCUAUUUAUGUGCACGUGAAUAUGGAAAAUUGGAGCCUAUGUCUAGAAAGUGCAUCUUUCUUAGGUACAAAUCAGGUGUGAAGGCUUAUAAAUUGUGGUGUCUCGGAGAAAAGAAAGUGGUGGUCAGUAGAGAUGUAGUUUAUGAUAAACUUGCUAUGGUUCAUGGUACACCUUAUGGGGAUUCUAGUAAAGCUAAAGAACAGAAUCAUUCAACUUACGAGGAGUUGGAAAUUGGUCUAGGGAAAAAAAUCAGAGAUUAUAGAGCAGUCUAGUUCAAAGGAGACAGACAGUAAUACUUAGCCUACUUUACCUACACUACCAGAAGUACCAUAGUAUUCGAUUGCAAAGGACAAUGAUAUGAUCCAAGAUCCGAAGGUUUAGAAUUCAAAUUCGAGUAGAGAUUUGUUGAUAGUUGGAGUUGGUUCGAUGACUCGAUCGAGGGCACAGAAGGUCAAUUAGGCAAUGGGAAUGCUGGUUCAAUCAACAAUUGAAGAAGCAUCGGUCCUGAAGCAAAAGGGAACAAGUUUGAUGUUGAGCUCUGGAGCUAUCUAAGUAGUUGAACUUAAUUAAAGUCCAGAAUGAAGUUGACGAAGUGCUAAAAUUUCUCUCGCUCAUCGCUCGAGCGAGGAAAGCAGAAACAUUCUCGUUCGCUUUUCGCUGGGACUUCGUUCGAGCGACGCUAACGUCGCUCGCUUUUCGCAUGACGUCGCUCGAGCGACGGUUAAUUUCGAGAUUUUAUUUUAUUUUACGCAUUUUUCCAUAUUUUAGCCAAAACUUUAUACUAUUUGAACUUCUUACCAUAUUGGACAUUGUUUAGUCAGUUUUUCUCAUAUUUUCUAAGAUUAGUAUAAAUACUUUAAGUUAGUUUUCAUUGUAAGACUUUUGACAUAUUACUCAAUUCAAGAGAGGCUUUUGCUUUCUUCCAUUGUUCUUCUUUGAACAACUAAUCAAACUUAUCAAGGAUUAAAUCUUUUUGGUGUUCAACAUCGAAUUGGGGGUUCUUCAAUUGUGUAGAAAGGGGUUCAUCGCAUCUUUUUAUCUUUGGGUUUCUUGUUUCACUUGUUGGGUUCAAAUCCAAAUCGAGUUAUUAAUUGGUGUCUUGUGUUCCGCAUCAAUCUAGUUGUGGGUUUCGUAGUCACUUUUGCUACGGGGUUUGCAUCAAACAGACCUGUAGACAGAUUAAACCUCCACAGAGAUAUGAAGAGGCGGAUUUGGUUGCUUAUGCUUUGAGUAUAGCUGAAGCUAUUGAUUCCACUGAGGAACUUGCUAUAUAUUCAGAGGCAGUCAAUUGCAGUGAUUUUGGCAAAUGAUUGAUUGCAAUGCAGGAGGAGAUGGAGUCUCUGCAUAAAAAUACCACUUGGGGCUUAUUGAAAUUGCCUAAGGACAAAAGGGUUGUUUGCUGCAAGUGUGCGUUCAAAAGGAAAGAAGGAACAUCAGGGAUUGAAGAUAUCAGGUAUAAGGCCAGGUUGGUACCAAAG
Molecule: long non-coding RNA, 1618 nt
Filed under: Olea europaea subsp. europaea
Lineage: Eukaryota; Viridiplantae; Streptophyta; Magnoliopsida; Lamiales; Oleaceae
Source: RNAcentral